RNAcentral lists this ribosomal RNA (434 nucleotides) under uncultured bacterium. RNAcentral's name for it is "bacterial SSU rRNA". It matches the Rfam family "Bacterial small subunit ribosomal RNA", at positions 50 to 524 of the family's 1533-position model. The record is from RNAcentral.
GACGGGCCAUGCAUGAUCGAACGAGUGCCUUCGGGUGAUAGUGGCGCACGGGUGCGUAACGCGUGGGAAUCUGCCCUUGGGUUCGGAAUAACAGCGAGAAAUUGCUGCUAAUACCGGAUGAUGACGUAAGUCCAAAGAUUUAUCGCCCAGGGAUGAGCCCGCGUAGGAUUAGCUAGUUGGUGGGGUAAAGGCCUACCAAGGCGACGAUCCUUAGCUGGUCUGAGAGGAUGAUCAGCCACACUGGGACUGAGACACGGCCCAGACUCCUACGGGAGGCAGCAGUGGGGAAUAUUGGACAAUGGGCGAAAGCCUGAUCCAGCAAUGCCGCGUGAGUGAUGAAGGCCUUAGGGUUGUAAAGCUCUUUUACCCGGGAUGAUAAUGACAGUACCGGGAGAAUAAGCUCCGGCUAACUCCGUGCCAGCAGCCGCGGUAAU